GUAGUGGACAGAAGGGAUUUCUGAAAA
Molecule: non-coding RNA, 27 nt
Filed under: Cricetulus griseus (Chinese hamster)
Lineage: Eukaryota; Metazoa; Chordata; Mammalia; Rodentia; Cricetidae
Also listed under: 1 other name
Source: RNAcentral